ACUACAAACUUUACUUGCUUGCCAAUGGCCAAUCUUGUUAGAUCUUGGAAGCUAAGCAAGGCCUGGCCUGGUCAGUACUUGGCUAGGAAACUGUUGGGCAUACCAGAGUGGGGUGGUAGUG
RNAcentral lists this ribosomal RNA (121 nucleotides) under Periophthalmus magnuspinnatus. Lineage: Eukaryota; Metazoa; Chordata; Actinopteri; Gobiiformes; Gobiidae. The record is from RNAcentral.